AGCGUGUUGGUACUGGUGCUCCUGUUUACUUGGCUGCUGUUCUCGAAUAUCUCGCUGCUGAGGUAUAUUUUAUUCAUCAAUUCAUUUAUUGAUUCCGAUCUCAUCUUUUAUUUAAUUGCCAUGAUUUAGGGAUUUUUGAAAUGGAACCCUAAUUUGAUGAAAUUGAAUUUUGUUUUAUGUUUAGGUGCUUGAGUUGGCUGGAAAUGCAGCACGUGACAACAAGAAGAAUAGAAUUAUUCCUAGGCAUGUUUUGUUGGCUGUGAGGAAUGAUGAAGAACUUGGAAAAUUGCUUUCUGGUGUCACCAUUGCACAUGGUGGUGUUCUUCCCAACAUCAACCCGAUACUAUUGCCUAAGAAGACUGAAAAAGCUGCAAAGGAGCCUAAAUCUCCAUCAAAGGCCGUUAAAUCUCCAAAGAAGGCAGCAUAGAUCUGUUAUCUGUCUUAGUUUAUUAUCGGUUAUGGUGAUUUUGUGCAUAUCUAAGAUUAGCUCUGUCUUAUGUAAUAGAAAAGUUCAAUGUUUUUGAAGCCUGUAUUUUGGAUAUCAUGUAUCUCCUUUAGGAGUCUUAACAUCUAUCAAUGAAAACAUUUGUAUCGGCACUUUUUCAUUGUGUUUGGUAAUUUUAAUUUCUGAUGCAUUUGUUCUUGUAUUUGCAAAUCCAUAUUUAAAAAGUCAUUAUAUUGGUCUUUUAUUAAUCAAUAAAUGUAAAUUGUUAUUUGUCUAAUUGUUUUAAUUUAUUUUUAGUGGUUAUCUAAUGUUCUCGUUUACGUGGAAUUCGGUUAAAGGGCUCUAUAAAAAUAGCUGUCUAAAAUGGUGUUUCUCGCGCUAUCAGUUUAAAACUGGGCGGGAACAUAGUUUUCGCGAUUUCAAACUGAGUGGGAGAGUCAGUCAUUAGUUUUCGAUGCAACUCUUGCAUACGAUGAUUAAUAAUAAUUGUUGUAAUAAGCGUUAUACAAAUAUUUGUUUGUGCUUUUAAAUAUAAUUUUAAUCAUGUAAUUUAUUCUUAAUAUUUGUUUUGGUUUUUUAUUAUUUUUUAUUUAUUAUGGUCUUUUAUUAUUUAUAAGUAAUAUCUUUUAAUUUUUUUUUUUCGCAAUUGUUUCAAAUGUCUAUAUCAUUGUUGUUAUCAAUAAUGAGCUAAAACCAUUUCGCCUAUCAAUAGCAACAACAAUUUUUUUAUUGGUACCACCACACACUGUUUCUUUGGUUGACUAUUGGAGCAACAUUACCUAUUGAGAAAUCCCUAACUUAACGUAUUAGUUAACUUUAAAAUGUAAUCGAUUUAAUCGUUAAAUAUCGGAGUUUUUUUUAAAGUUUUGUGUGCCAUUUUGAUGAAGUUGAUGUCAAAAUACAAUAAAUUAUAAUAAAUUUCAUUUAUUUUAAAAAAUUUACGUAUAUUUGAAAUCAUAUAAGAAUUUUUUUAAAUAUAAACCUUUUAUUAGAAAGAAUAGUAUACUUGAUAUAUGUUGACAAUUUUUAUGAGAUAUAUCAAUGACCGUAUAUUGUUAUAAUUUUUAUUGUGAUUGUAACAAAGUAAAAUACAUUAUUUGUAAAAGAUAAAAUAAUAAAAUAAAUCAAAAUAAAGAUAAAUGACCAAAAUGAAUACUAAAUAAAAGAUAAAUAAAUAGAAUUAAAUUUAAACAUUUUGUUUUGAAUUCAUUUUAAUUUUUUAUAUUUAAUUUUGAUCUUUUAUCUUUUAUUUAAUAAUCGAUUAAAUUUUUUAUUUUUUGUAAAUUUAACAAGUUUAUUAUUUUAUGAAAAAAUAAAAUAGGUAUUACGUAAAAUAUAAGUAAUCAAAAUAAAUAUUAAAUAAAAGUUAAAUAAUUAAAAUUAUAUUUUAGGCUUAUUUUGUUCGAAAACUGAAGACACUUUUCUUUCGUGUCGAAAUCGAAUAUAUAUACAUGUAAAGCGGGAUUGAUAAGUUUUAAUAGUGACAUCGUUAACAUAAUCUCCUCAUGUUGCAUUACAAUACAGGGGUCCAAAUUCAAAUUAAAAAAAUUAUUAUAAUCAAUUAUUAAAAGACAUUGGAAUCUCCGAUGUUAUUUUAAGUUUUUGAUUAAUGUGUUUCUGUCCUCAAUUUCGUCUAGUCUAAGUUUUACUUGGCCAUGUAAUAACAAGAGAGUAUAUGCAAGAAAUAUAAAAAGAAAAGGGUAAAAUAAUUUUGCAAUCAUUUAAGUUAUAUGAUAAUAAUAUAUUAGUUAUUUAUAUAUAUUUUUGAAACAAGUUAAUUUUUUAUUUUUCUUUCUGUGUAUAUCAAGUUUGUCUAUUAUGUUUGUACAUAUUUACUAAUGAUCAUAAUUUCAAACUAAUAAAAUGGAAAUACAAAUUCUCUAGUUUUCUUUAAUAUACUUAUGUAAUUCUUAAAGCAUUUAGUGUUUUUGAAAUUAAAGACAAAGCUCUCUCAAUCUAUGGCAUUAAUUCAUAUAUAAAUUUAUUUUGUUGUUCUUUAUAUGUUUGAUUAUAAAAUUUAUAGUACCAUUUUAAAAAAUUUAAUUGAAAAUGAUUGAAAUGUAAUUAAGACUAUAAAUAGUUCAACAUUGUUAUAUCUAUCAAAAUAAAAAAUUAAUUUGAUACAAAAAAUGUUAAAAAACCAAAUUAAUAUUUUCAUGUAUUUUAAAAGAUUGUCCAAUAAAUUUUGCCAAAGAAACAAAACUAAGCUUUAUACAUACUUUGAUAGCUUUAAUUUAUUUAAGUAGUGUUUGUGGGACUUUGGAGGAUAGCAUAGGGAAGGAUUUUGAGAUCAAUAAAGUGUAAAGAAGACAAAUAGUAUAAAUAAAGAGUAGUAAUCUCACUUAACAUAAAUAAUUUUUCUUUUAAUUGGUGUAAAAUUCUUCCAUGUGAAAUACUAAAAAAUGUAUUUGGGAAGAACUUUACUUUAUUUUUAAACUAAUUCUCAGUUAUUUCAUUAGUUUUGUAAUACAAUUAAACAAAGAAAAUAUUAUUCAUCAAUAUUCUUCCCCCUUUUCCUUCAAAAAUAAUUCCUUAAACAAAGUGAAUAUUAUAGGGAAAUCUUGAAAACGAUGAGAAUAUUAAUGAACUAAAUGUCAAAUUCUCAAUAGAUUAUGAUACCACUUCUUAACCCAUAAUAUUAAAAGAAUGCUUAUAUGCAUUACCUCUUUUAUAUAUAUUAAUUUUAGUCAAUGUAAGAAUAAUCUUUCACAAUUGAAUUUCAACAAUAUUUUUCUAAGGUAUGAGUCGCUCACAACACUAUACUUGAUCUACACUAGGAUGUUGCUCUCGCUCCUUCACCAAACUCAGAUAUCACUUGUAAAGGAGUUCGAGGAUGCUCAUAGUAUGAGUAACAUUGAACUAAUUAAACGUCGAGAAUCAUUAAAAAACUUUAAUAUUAGACCUUUACUAAAAUUUGUACGACCAUAAAUAUAGAGCCGCUAAAAUAUGCCAACUUUAAUGGACUGACUCAAAAUCCCAAGAAAAGAUAGACUUUGGGCCCUAAGGUUUUAAGUCCAAAUUUUAUUAGGACUUUUUAUCCCUACCCUAAAAACCUUGUACUUGUGGCAGACUAGUCUGAACAGACUUAGGACAUCAACAUACUCACAUGACAUGUAAAAAAUAAAAUAUAAACAUUAUUUUGAAAAAAUGUAUGUAAAAUAUUUUUAACAUUACUAAAACUAAAAUAGGUAAAAUGUUAAAAAAAAUUAUAUUAAAUUUAAAAGAAUGUUAUUUGUGUUUUAAAAAAUGCUAGAAUAUAUAAAAAUUUAAGUAGUUUAUUUAAAAAAAUUGCAACACUUAAUAUUAUAAAAUAUAAAUAAAAAAUUCUAAAAUAAUUAAGUGAUGAGCAAACUCGAAAGCCCAAAUUCGUUUAUGGUCGAACUCAUGCAGUAUUUUUAGAACUGUUUUUAAAAAUAGUUUUUUAACCUAAGCCUGUUAGAGCCGAUGCUAAAUGGAUCAGGUAGCAUAUUUUGAUAGCUCUAAAUAAAUAUAUAAGUCAUCUCUCUAAUAUAUCGAAUAUAUAUUGAGUUUCUAUUUGAUGUGGGACUAAACUAUCACCAUUGAAUUAUAAUUUCAUAAAUUUUUACAUAUGAAAAUGUGUUCCAUCGUUGACUACCAUUAAAAAAUCAUCGAAAUUUUAACAAGAAGUCGAUUAUACUCUUCCUAAGUAAUAUCUAAACAUGUUAUUUUCUUAAUAGAUAAGACGAUGACUCGAGUAGUGUCGAUUUACUACAAAAUACACAUUUGUUUUCUGUUAUUUUUAUCGAAACCAUAUCACUAUUUCAGUCUUGAAAAUAACGAAAACCAUUAACAUCUAUUUCUAAGAGACAACGUCUAUAAUCGUUGGAGUUUUAAACAUUUUUUAAGUACCACUAUUUUGUAUUAAUUAAUCGAUAAUCAAUUGAAAAUUAUGUUGCUAAUCAAUUCAUUUUAUCGAAAAAUUUAAACCAAAUCGUAAGUGAAUCGUUUUCCUAUUGUUUUGGGCCGAUAUUUGAAUUAAACUAAGAUGUCCAUGAUCUCUACGGUUUUCGCACGACGAUGCCAUGAUCCGUAUGGUUUCCGCGCGAUCAUUGUUUAUGUUUUGAUGUUGCUGCGGGGAAAAUGACUUCGAUUAAUUGUUAAAUUGAUACCGCCCCUCAAAGAAACGUUGUUGAUUUAUGUGAUUGUUGAUGACGUUGUUGAAUUAUAUUAUGGAUUUUAAUUAUGUUGUGUUGAUGAUGAUAAAUUGUUUAACAUGAUUAUGAUGUGUUUUUAAUAAGUAUCUUUGCUAUUUUGUAAGCUGUUAGGACAUAUUAGAUAGUGCUGUAAUUGAAGAAAACCCUUUGCCAAUUAAUAAUGUGAAUUGAAUUAGGAGACUGAUAUUCAAUUAGGUGAUACAAUUAAUCCAUUAGAAAAAAUACAUAAAAUUUUCAACUUUAGUUUUAAUCAAAUUGAUAGAUAGAUUAAUAUCAAUUAGUUGUUAACCAUGGGUUGAAAAAUUGACAAAGUUAAGUCUUAACCGAUUAGAACAUUUUAAUUAAAUUAAAUGACUAAUAAUUUAUCAUGUAAGGAUAUUAGUUGAAUAAGAAGGCUAAUAAUCGAUUAGCAGAUCAAAAUAAUCGAUAAGGUCAUUAAGAACGACUUAAUAAUGAUUAACUAGUAAUAAAGUAAUUAUUAAUAGAUAAUAAAUUAGUAGUUAAUGAAAUUAAAUAUUUGGGCUUGUUUGCUUAUGUUGUAACGUGCAAUGUCGCAAAUAUGAACUUUGCCACUUAUAACAAUGGCGUUGAUUAGUCAAAACAAAAUAUAAACAACAAUGUUGAAGGUGAUGAUUAAUAUAUUAUGAAUGAAUCAUUGACAAUCGAAUGUAUUUAGAGUACUAUUGGUAUUAAUGAUCUUACCUAAAUGUAAGACACUAUUUUUUAGGGUACUAUUGGCAUGAAUGAUCUUCAGAAAAUUAUUGAAUACUAUUUCAUCAUCACUAGACAUUUCAUUUCAUGGGGUAUUAUAGGUGAUUCUCUACUGGUAUCAACUCUGAAUAAAUCGGAUUUAUAUAUGUAGUAGUUGAUGAUAAGGGUAAAAAUAGGUCAUGGUGAUAGAUGAACUUUGCCACGUAUAACACUGACGUUGAUUAGUCAAAACAAAAUAUAAACAACAAUGUUGAAGGUGAUGAUUAAUAUAUUAUGAAUGAAUCAUUGACAAUCAAAUAUAUUUAGAGUACUAUUGGUAUUAAUGAUCUUACCUAAAUGUAAGACACCAUUUUUUAGGGUACUAUUGACAUGAAUGAUCUUUAGGAAAUUAUUGAAUACUAUUUCAUUAUCACUAGACACUUUAUUUCAUGAGGUAUUAUAGGUGAUUCUCUACUCGUAUCAACUAUGAAUAAAUCGGAUUUAUGUAUGUAGUAGUUGAUGAUAAGGGUAAAAAUAGGUCAUGCUGAUAGGUGGAUGUACCUGACAUAACAUACAAUAGAUUUAGACUAUUCUAUACUUUUUUUAAUAUAUGUCACACAAAGGUUUUAAAAAAAACCAACUUAGUUAAAAAAAAAACUAUAUUAAAUGCCAUUGUAAAUUCUUUUAAGCCUACCAGAAUGAAUUAUUUAAUUAAAUAUAAAUGAUUUUUGUUUUAAAUAUGUAUUUGAUCUUUGUAAAUUUAUAUAUUUUUUAAUUUAUUUUAGUCUCUAUAAGUUUUUUAGUUUGGAUUUAGUCAUAGUAGAAUUUGAGACGAUAGAUUUUGGACCUUAACGUCAAAUCAAUAUUAAAAAAAUGAAGAACUUAAAAAGUCUAGAAUUAAAAAAUGAUAUAUUUACAGGGACAAAAAAUAUAUUUAAAUAAUUUUUUUUAUUAUUAUUGUUAUUAUUUAUUAUUAUUAUUAUUAUUAUUAUUAUUAUUAUUAUUAUUAUAGCAUUUACUUUAAUUUAAACAAACUCAUCUAUAUCAAAGUUAGAUAUUAAAAUAAAAUGUAUUGUCAUGUAUUAUUAUAAAAUAUAAUUAUUAUAAAAUAAAAUGUAUUAUUAUAAAAUAUAAUUGAAAUAUGAUUUAAUAUAAGUUAGAUAUUAAAAUAAAAUUUAAUUAAGUGCAUUGUCAUGUUAACUUUUUCUUCUAGUUACAAAAACCUAUCAAUGAAUGAUGUAGAUUUUAAUAAAAUAAUAGUGAAGUAGACUUUUAAACAUGAUUUUAGAUCUUGUUAUGAUUUGAAAAAAGACCAAGUCCGAUCUUAACAGUGGACCUUUGACAAAUAACAUAUGAAAUUUAAAUCGAACAUUUUCAAUGUAGGUUAAACUUAGACCUUACAAAAAUUAACUUGAACUAACCUAUUUCCAUUCCAAGGUUGUGGUUAGGUUGCAUAUCUUAGACAUGAUCAUGCUUAUUAUGGUAUGUGAUAUGUUAUGUUUGUUUUCUGUUGGAUUUGAAUUUGCUUCUAUAAAUUAUCAUACUCUACAUAAUUUAUGUUUUUGAGUAUGAUGAUUUAUCUUUAUAAUAAUUAAUGAAUUAUAAUAUUGUGACAUUAAGAUUUUGAAAACAGGUAGACAAAUGCAUGUUAAUUAUUUAAAAAUUUAAAAUAAUUAAAAAUGUAAAAAUUUAUGCAAUUUCUCAUAUUAAUAAUAAAUUAAAUAAAAAUAAUAUAUAGAUGUGAUUUGAUUUAGUUCAUUUUCAAAAAUAUAAUCCAAAAAUUUCAUAUUAUCGAAUCAAUUAUCACGAAAACAUAUUUAAAAACAUUCCAUAAGGUACAAUGUUACCUUUCAAAUUGACAAAAUCCAGGAGUAUAUAUGUAUAUAAAACCAUGUUUACUUUGCCAUAAUAACUUUCCAAUUGCUGUAAAAAAAAAAAAACAAUAAUAGCUUUCCUCAUUUUAAAACGGAAAGAACCCAAAUAGAACAAGUUCGCGUGUCGUCAAUUAAAGUCAUUCAUUGGUCCAUUUCAAAACCAGCGGAUCGCCACACAAAUUAUCUACAACCGUUGAUAAUUCUCAAUCUAACGGCUUUACGUUUGCUCAAUCUAAGAAUCGACGGGGAUCGAGUUGUGUCCGUAAAGCUAUAUAACCUCGCCAACGAUUCAUUCCCAUUCACUUAACACAUUAUAACACCAUUCAGAAGUUUGCAUUUCCUGCAUCUCACAGUUUCCACAGCUAGAUUUUAGGGUUAAAACUUCUAAACACAAAAUGGAAGCUAGCACAAAAACAAAGAAAGGAGCCGGAGGAAGGAAGGGAGGAGGACCAAGGAAGAAGUCGGUAACAAGAUCUAUCAGAGCCGGUCUUCAAUUUCCCGUCGGUAGAAUCGGCCGUUACUUGAAGAAAGGUAGAUAUGCUCAGCGUG
RNAcentral lists this long non-coding RNA (7733 nucleotides) under Cicer arietinum (chickpea). Its description in RNAcentral is "long non-coding RNA (CARI_LNC000088)". The record is from RNAcentral. Lineage: Eukaryota; Viridiplantae; Streptophyta; Magnoliopsida; Fabales; Fabaceae.